Molecule: ribosomal RNA, 468 nt
Filed under: uncultured bacterium
Lineage: Bacteria
Description: partial 16S ribosomal RNA
Rfam family: Bacterial small subunit ribosomal RNA
Source: RNAcentral
GACGAACGCUGGCGGCGUGCUUAACACAUGCAAGUCGAACGGAAAGGCCCUGCUUUUGUGGGGUGCUCGAGUGGCGAACGGGUGAGUAACACGUGAGUAACCUGCCCUUGACUUUGGGAUAACUUCAGGAAACUGGGGCUAAUACCGGAUAGGAGCUCCUGCUGCAUGGUGGGGGUUGGAAAGUUUCGGCGGUUGGGGAUGGACUCGCGGCUUAUCAGCUUGUUGGUGGGUUAGUGGCUUACCAAGGCUUUGACGGGUAGCCGGCCUGAGAGGGUGACCGGCGAAAUUGGGACUGAGAUACGGACCAGACGAGAAGGGGAGGCAGCAGUGGGGAAUAGUGAAAAAUGGGAGGAAGCAUGAGGAAGAAAAGCAGCGAGAGGGAUGAAGGCCUUCGGGUUGUAAAAAGAUUUAGCAUGUGACGAAGAGUGAGUGACGGUAAUGGGUAAAGAAGCACCGGCUAACUACGUG